This 2680-nucleotide long non-coding RNA is filed under the name Homo sapiens (human). RNAcentral describes it as "novel transcript". Lineage: Eukaryota; Metazoa; Chordata; Mammalia; Primates; Hominidae. The record is from RNAcentral.
CUCGGCAGAAGCAACUGCUGGGGUUUGUGUGGAUGAACACUAAAGGGACUUCCUUUGAAAAAGCUGCAGGAAGUCUUGGCUGCCUCAGUGGCUGUUGAGGUCCUCACCAGGAUUCUCUGUAGAGCAGGCCACUGAGGACCCUGGUGGCAGCUGCUGUGUGGCUAAUAUGUUUCAGGAAAAAUGAAAGCUGAUAUCUCCUACCCCACCAUACUAUUGACAUCCUGAAAAUAUUUACAAAAUGGGGAAGACCUGGGACACACUUCGGCCCUUGGACAUCAGAACUUCAGGCUUUUUGGCCUUAGGAUUCCAGGACUUACACCAGCAACUCCCUGGGUUCUCAGAGGUAUUUGGCCUUGGCCUGAAAGUUACACAUUAGCUUUCCUGGUUCCAAAGACUUCGGACUUGGACUGAGCCAUGCUUCCAGCAUUCCAGGGUCUCCAGCUUAGAGAUGGCCUACCACAGGACUUCUCAGCUUCCACAAUCAUUGUGCCUCCCUGGGAUUUAUCUAUGUUAUGAACCAUAACAUAGCACGAAAUAAUGGCUUUAGCAAGAUGCUGAUUAUGCUCUAUUCUGUUUCAUAAUUUCAGCUUUUAUGUCUGUAGCUACCUCCUAUUUUCCAAAUAUGGAUUUUUUUCCUGUUUUCUGGUUUCUUGAAGUGAAUUGUUAGGUUAUUUGUUUCAUAUUGUUUUAUCAUUAAGCAUUUGGAAAUUUGAAUUUAUUUUAGUGAAGUUCAGUUCACUUUCAGUUUAUGUAUUUUCAAGCUCAUUGCUUUCUAGGUAAUUUAUAACUAUCAUUUUGAUUUAUUCAAUGAUUUUAGAAUUUAGAAGAAUCAAUAGUCUAAGUCAUUUAUGUUUGUAUUUAUUAUUUUGUUUUUAAAUUCCAGUUUUAUUGCAUUUUUUCAGGGAUGUAGAGAUGAAUGUGGAAAAUCACUUCAGAAAUAUAUAUGAACGUAGAUAUGGAGUAGAAGCUAUCAUCUAAUUAAAAUAAUGUAAAGGGGGUAAAUGCUGAAUAAUUUUAUUUGUAAUAGUAAGAUGAAUUCAUCAGAUGAAGCACUGUCAUUACAAACUCAAACAUGAUAUUGCAAGUAUUUAUUCUGUGAUUUAAUAGAAAAAUGUUGACAUGUUUUCAUGGAAGAAAAUAAAAACUUACACAAAAGUAGUGUCAUAGGACACUUGAAAAGGACAAAUGAAAAGGACAAAUAAUGUCGUUGAUGUGCCAAGAAUGAUGAUAUAAACCCUAUUACAAGGCAAAAGAUGUGCUACUUAAUAUUAUGUCCAACCUGCUAUGAUUUCACCACGCAGAACUUACUGAAAUGUUACCUUUUCCGUCAUGGGAUCCAUUGUUAAAUUCAACAGUUAGCACUAACACCUUAAACGAGUGUAGCCAAAGGCCAUCACUUAGUGCAUCUGAGCAUUUUAAUGUAGAGAAUCAUGAAAAGAACUGAGGUUUUCAGGUUUCAGAAUAUACGUAACAAUUUGACUGCAUAGGUUAGUUCUAAUUAUAUUCUAAUGAGGCUAAAUAUAAGGAUUCAGUUUUUAUUAUAGUAAAUGACUUAUAGAUUAUAUUUUUCCUUCAUUACCUCUUAAUUUAAUUAUGUUAUCACAAUUGUCAGUUCUAAAACAGUAAAAGGAUAUUUCUCAUUAGAAGAUGUAUUGGUCAAUUUGGUCAGAAAUCCUUCACUCAAUUUCACUUACAGAUGUGAUGUGCACAUCUUCAGACCAAUCCAUUUGUCUGUCACAAUACGGCACGGGAGCUAAAAAAGGCUCUGGUUGGCUGAUCAAAUGCAACUUCCCAUUUCAAGGGUUUAUAAUUUCAUUAUAAAAAUUAACUUCUGUCUGACUCUAGCUAGAGGCUCUCAAAAUUUGGAAGACAUUAUUUCUGGAUAUCUCUAAUUUCAAAUACACUAAUUUUAUAGAAUUUCGUACUGACCAACUUGAGCAUAAUAGUUCAUAUAAUUUUAAAGCUUACUCCAAUUAAUAUUCUUUCUGAAUCAUUUUGCAUAAGCAUCCUCCCAGUGAUGUGAAACAAUGUUGCCCAGUUCAAAUAAGCAUUAAGUGUUGAGGUAAUGUAAAAGAAACAAGGAUGAAGUCUGAGAAAUUCUAAGGAACAAGACAAUUUUGUGAUCUGGUAAUGAAAAGAGCAAAGAGAAAAAGAGAUCUUCAAGGAAGAUAAGUAAUACAAAUUCACAGCUUAUACUUACAUAGACACCAGUAUAAUGUAGGUAUGAAUACCACUUAAAAUUUUUAAUCACCAAAUACUCAGUUAAAUACUUUGGGCAGAGAAGUAUUUAUGUCCACUCUAAGCUGAUUAUGAUAGUCCUGUUAUUUUUGACUAGGGAUUGAUUUAGUCAUGCACAUACGAUAAAACUCUGACCAAUGAGAUGUGAGGCUAUCCGUUGGAGAGAUUCUGAGAGGGUUCUGCUCACUCUUUAAAGGAGAAAUAAAGUACAUUAGAAUUAUUUUUACUUGUAAGAUUUCCACCUGCUGGUGACGACUGGAAUUGCAGCAUUAAUGUUGAAACCCUGACGGGAGCCUCUUACGCUAACAUGCAAAGGACUGCAGAGAAGAAAAUGGAAACAGACAAAAGAAUCAUGACAUCCCUGAGCUAUUGAGUUAAACAUACCUAGACCCGCUGUCCUAUGUGAACCUAGAAGGGUGGCUGUUACGUGAGAUAAAAAUUG